RNAcentral lists this small nucleolar RNA (59 nucleotides) under Giardia lamblia P15. Its description in RNAcentral is "Small nucleolar RNA GlsR6". It matches the Rfam family "Small nucleolar RNA GlsR6". The record is from Rfam by way of RNAcentral. Lineage: Eukaryota; Fornicata; Diplomonadida; Hexamitidae.
AAUGAUGGCUUGUUAUCCCUGUCUGAGGCUAACCUCCUGAUUAGACGAUUUGGCAGAGC